This 27-nucleotide non-coding RNA is filed under the name Rattus norvegicus (Norway rat). The record is from RNAcentral. Lineage: Eukaryota; Metazoa; Chordata; Mammalia; Rodentia; Muridae.
CAAAAGUGUGUGCAACCUUCUUGGCUU